UCGGGAAUCUUAGACAAUGGGGGAAACCCUGAUCUAGCCAUGCCGCGUGAGUGACGAAGGCCCUAGGGUCGUAAAGCUCUUUCGCCAGGGAAGAUAAUGACGGUACCUGGUAAAGAAGUCCCGGCUAACUCCGUGCCAGCAGCCGCGGUAAUACGGAGGGGACUAGCGUUGUUCGGAAUUACUGGGCGUAAAGCGCGCGUAGGCGGACUAUUAAGUCAGGGGUGAAAUCCCGGGGCUCAACCCCGGAACUGCCUUUGAUACUGGUAGUCUUGAGUUCGAGAGAGGUGAGUGGAAUUCCGAGUGUAGAGGUGAAAUUCGUAGAUAUUCGGAAGAACACCAGUGGCGAAGGCGACUCGCUGGACAGGUAUUGACGCUGAGGUGCGAAAGCGUGGGGAGCAAACAGGAUUAGAUACCCGUGUAGUCC
RNAcentral lists this ribosomal RNA (424 nucleotides) under uncultured prokaryote. RNAcentral's name for it is "bacterial SSU rRNA". It matches the Rfam family "Bacterial small subunit ribosomal RNA", at positions 355 to 796 of the family's 1533-position model. The record is from RNAcentral.